UGGUUCUGGCAUCGAUGAAGAACGCAGCGAAAUGCGAUAAGUAAUGUGAAUUGCAGAAUUCAGUGAAUCAUCGAAUCUUUGAACGCACAUUGCGCCCUUUGGUAUUCCGAGGGGCACGCCUGUUCGAGCGUCAUUUAAACCAUCAAGCACCGCUUGGUAUUGGACGCGGUCAGAGGACCCGUCCGCAACCGGUUGGCGGUACCGUCCGGCUUCAAGCGUAUCAAACUUCUCGCUUUGGGGCUCGCGGCGGUGCCUGCCAGGCAACCCAAACCCAAAGUUUGACCUCGGAUCAGGUGGGGAUACCCGCUGA
This 310-nucleotide unclassified non-coding RNA is filed under the name uncultured fungus. RNAcentral describes it as "partial contains 5.8S ribosomal RNA and internal transcribed spacer 2". The stretch from base 1 to 133 matches the Rfam family "5.8S ribosomal RNA", at positions 22 to 154 of the family's 154-position model. Lineage: Eukaryota; Fungi. The record is from RNAcentral.